GGAAGUGUAUGCAGGUCUGGUGACUGCCUCGGUCUUCAAAACCGCAGAGUGACGCUUCGCGCCACUGGUGGGUUCGAUUCCCAUCCACUUCCGCCA
RNAcentral lists this transfer RNA (96 nucleotides) under Planctomyces sp. RNAcentral describes it as "tRNA-Sec". It matches the Rfam family "Selenocysteine transfer RNA". The record is from RNAcentral. Lineage: Bacteria; Pseudomonadati; Planctomycetota; Planctomycetia; Planctomycetales; Planctomycetaceae.